GUUUUUCUUUACUAGCAAUUAUGGAAACGUAGAGUGGCUCCUUUCUCUACUAAUAGCCUCAUAAUGGAGCCAUCUAAAUCUCUUACUGAUUCCUCUAUCCUUCAGGGAGCCACACCUUUCCCCAGCCCUCCUAGAUCCUGGGGGAAUCAGAGGACCUUUUCUAAGCACUAUGUGAGGAAACAAGAAAACCUAGGGCCACAACAACUGGAUUCUCUUUUCUGAUUUUUGCUGCAGCUUCUGCUUUGUAAUCAUACGGACAGUUGUGCUUGUCAGAGUAACAGUGAAGUCCACAAAACAAAUUUCCACAUCGGCAGUCAAACCCUGUAAGACCAACUUUCUUUCUGCACAUGAAACAUCUGUUUUUCUUUGGUUUGGGCAAUUCAGGAGCUUUUUCUUCACUCUGAGAAGUACUGGGCUGAGAAACUGAUGGACUGGGCUGAGUGACAACUGGCUCUGACAUCUCUGUUUUUGGGGUAUUUUGUCCUCUGUUGAAAUGCUCAUUUCUGUCAUUUGCUGAGUUACAGGCAAGGCAGCCACAGUCACAUUUCUUGAUUUUUCAGAUGUGCUGC
Molecule: non-coding RNA, 569 nt
Filed under: Pongo abelii (Sumatran orangutan)
Lineage: Eukaryota; Metazoa; Chordata; Mammalia; Primates; Hominidae
Source: RNAcentral